UACAGAGGCCCCAAGCGUUGUUCGGAUUCACUGGGCGUAAAGGGUGCGUAGGCGGUCGGGUAAGUCUGGCGUGAAAUCUCCAAGCCUAACUUGGAAACUGCGUUGGAUACUAUCCGGCUCGAGGAAUGGAGGGGAGACUGGAAUACUUGGUGUAGCAGUGAAAUGCGUAGAUAUCAAGUGGAACACCAGUGGCGAAGGCGAGUCUCUGGACAUUUCCUGACGCUGAGGCACGAAAGCCAGGGGAGCAAACGGG
RNAcentral lists this ribosomal RNA (253 nucleotides) under uncultured bacterium. RNAcentral's name for it is "partial 16S ribosomal RNA". It matches the Rfam family "Bacterial small subunit ribosomal RNA", at positions 524 to 776 of the family's 1533-position model. The record is from RNAcentral.